GUGGGGAAUAUUGGACAAUGGGCGAAAGCCUGAUCCAGCAAUGCCGCGUGAGUGAUGAAGGCCUUCGGGUUGUAAAGCUCUGUCGGGAGGGACGAAAAAGCAGCUUAACAAACUGUGUUGACGGUACCUCCAAAGGAAGCACCGGCUAACUCUGUGCCAGCAGCCGCGGUAAUACAGAGGGUGCAAGCGUUGUUCGGAAUUACUGGGCGUAAAGCGCGUGUAGGUGGCGACGUAAGUCGGGUGUGAAAUCCCUUGGCUUAACCAAGGAAGUGCACUCGAUACUGUGUUGCUUGAGUACCGGAGGGGAUGGCGGAAUUCCCGGUGUAGAGGUGAAAUUCGUAGAUAUCGGGAGGAACACCUGUGGCGAAGGCGGCCAUCUGGACGGUCACUGACACUGAGACGCGAAAGCGUGGGUAGCAAACAGGAUUAGAAACCCGGGUAGUCC
This 445-nucleotide ribosomal RNA is filed under the name uncultured bacterium. RNAcentral's name for it is "bacterial SSU rRNA". It matches the Rfam family "Bacterial small subunit ribosomal RNA", at positions 354 to 796 of the family's 1533-position model. The record is from RNAcentral.